Molecule: long non-coding RNA, 724 nt
Filed under: Homo sapiens (human)
Lineage: Eukaryota; Metazoa; Chordata; Mammalia; Primates; Hominidae
Description: HSALNT0286560
Source: RNAcentral
AAAAAAGGGCCUACAAGACAGCGCAAAUGUGGCUUUUGUAAGUCAAAUAGAGACAAGGAAUGUGGACAGAAGGCUCCAUAGAAAACGAGAGUUGAAAUGUGUUCCACCAGGAGAGUGAUGCUAUGGAAGUCAAAGACAAACAAUUUCAAGGAGGAAGAAGUGGUCAAAAAAUAUUAAAUAAGUAUUGUGAAUGUAUUCAUAUAAAUGUGAUUUUUUUUAAAAGCUCCAGUUAUGGCAUGCAGAUUAAUUUUAAUGUAUGCAGAUAUUUUACCAGUCAUUUAUAUUAAAAUGAACUUUACUUUUGAGGUGAUAAAGGAGAAUGAAUGUAAGGUCAAAGAGAAACUUGGAAGUGUAAUGAUGGAGGAAAUUGGGUCUUUGGCUAUUACUGAAUACAUUUUUUUAAUGCAUAAUUUUUUUAUUUGCCUCCAUUUAAUACUUUUUGGUAACUGGGAAUACUGUCAAUUAAUUUCAUUAUAAAAUCCUCAUUUAUUUUUGCUAAUGGAGGAGAUCCAAAACCAAUAAUAUAAACAAAAUGUAUUCUUGGUGUUGGGGGCUGUCUUGGUACUUAUUUGAGCAUAGGUGUGGAUGAGGUGUUCUUCACAGACUAAAUAUAGCAAGCGGCAUAGCAGUUUAGAGUACCCUCAGCUGGAAAAACCCAUACACGAGAAAAGCUUGGACAUAAAAAUCUGAGCUCAGAAAAUGUCUGUCUGAAUCUUUCAGAUAC